This 321-nucleotide ribosomal RNA is filed under the name Lactobacillaceae bacterium. RNAcentral describes it as "bacterial SSU rRNA". It matches the Rfam family "Bacterial small subunit ribosomal RNA", at positions 414 to 728 of the family's 1533-position model. Lineage: Bacteria; Bacillati; Bacillota; Bacilli; Lactobacillales; Lactobacillaceae. The record is from RNAcentral.
GGUUUCGGCUCGUAAGCUCUGUUGUUGGAGAAGAACGUGCGUGAGAGUAACUGUUCACGCAGUGACGGUAUCCAACCAGAAAGUCACGGCUAACUACGUGCCAGCAGCCGCGGUAAUACGUAGGUGGCAAGCGUUAUCCGGAUUUAUUGGGCGUAAAGCGAGCGCAGGCGGUUGCUUAGGUCUGAUGUGAAAGCCUUCGGCUUAACCGAAGAAGUGCAUCGGAAACCGGGCGACUUGAGUGCAGAAGAGGACAGUGGAACUCCAUGUGUAGCGGUGGAAUGCGUAGAUAUAUGGAAGAACACCAGUGGCGAAGGCGGCUGU